This 253-nucleotide ribosomal RNA is filed under the name uncultured bacterium. RNAcentral's name for it is "partial 16S ribosomal RNA". It matches the Rfam family "Bacterial small subunit ribosomal RNA", at positions 524 to 776 of the family's 1533-position model. The record is from RNAcentral.
UACGUAGGGUGCGAGCGUUGUCCGGAAUUAUUGGGCGUAAAGAGCUUGUAGGCGGUUUGUUAAGUCUGCUGUGAAAUCCCCGGGCUCAACCUGGGAAUGGCAGUGGAUACUGGCAAGCUAGAGUGUGUCAGAGGAUGGUGGAAUUCCCGGUGUAGCGGUGAAAUGCGCAGAUAUCAGGAGGAACACCAAUGGCGAAGGCAGCUCGCUGGGACGGUACUGACGCUGAGACGCGAAAGCGUGGGGAGCAAACAGG